AUGUCACUGGAGCAUCCUGCGACUUCAAACUGGGCACGUCAUUCUCUCAGGUGAUAAAUUCCUGCUUUCAGCUAUGGAAAGACAACAUUACAAGUUUCGCAAGUAUUUACAAGCAUUACAGCUAUGAUUCUCUUAAUUUAAGUCCUGCUUCAGUCUCCUGGUCAAAUAACAGACCUGGUUCAUCAGUGUUCAAGUUGUUUUGUGUUUCAAAUCUCCAAAUCUUUGACCCUUACUCCAAGAAAGUUUAGAAUAAGUAUCAGAAAUGAGAGAGAAGCAAUAAAAAUGAGCAUUCCACUUUGAUCUAUUUCGAAUAUUUUGUGGUGCAAACAGAGAAUACUAGAGGAAGAAAUGGGUCUUCUUCAAAGCAGUAUUUUAAAUAGUGUAUGACAG
This 390-nucleotide long non-coding RNA is filed under the name Equus caballus (horse). RNAcentral's name for it is "lncRNA (ENSECAG00000042017.2)". Lineage: Eukaryota; Metazoa; Chordata; Mammalia; Perissodactyla; Equidae. The record is from RNAcentral.